This 184-nucleotide ribosomal RNA is filed under the name uncultured bacterium. RNAcentral's name for it is "partial 16S ribosomal RNA". It matches the Rfam family "Bacterial small subunit ribosomal RNA", at positions 1318 to 1500 of the family's 1533-position model. The record is from RNAcentral.
ACAUGAAGUCGGAAUUGCUAGUAAUCGUGGAUCAGCAUGCCACGGUGAAUACGUUCCCGGGCCUUGUACACACCGCCCGUCAAACCAUGAGAGUUGGCAACACCCGAAGCCUGUAGCUUAACCGCAAGGAUGGCGCAGUCGAAGGUGGGGGUCGAUGAUUAGGGUUAAGUCGUAACAAGGUACC